RNAcentral lists this transfer RNA (75 nucleotides) under Synergistes jonesii. Its description in RNAcentral is "tRNA-Ala(cgc)". It matches the Rfam family "tRNA". From Rfam's summary of the family: Transfer RNA (tRNA) molecules are approximately 80 nucleotides in length. Their secondary structure includes four short double-helical elements and three loops (D, anti-codon, and T loops). Lineage: Bacteria; Thermotogati; Synergistota; Synergistia; Synergistales; Synergistaceae. RNAcentral also lists the same sequence under 17 other names. The record is from RNAcentral.
GGGGCUGUAGCUCAGCGGGAGAGCACUUCCCUCGCACGGAAGGGGUCGGGCGUUCAAAUCGCCUCAGCUCCACCA